This is a non-coding RNA of Arachis ipaensis, 1133 nucleotides long. The record is from RefSeq and is a predicted model, not a curated record. Lineage: Eukaryota; Viridiplantae; Streptophyta; Magnoliopsida; Fabales; Fabaceae.
CUAUCAUAUGCCAAAGUCAACACAAUAUUCGCAAGCAAAUAAGGGACUAAACUCUUUUUCGGUACGAAGUGAGAUUCAACAAAUAUGUGCACAAACCUAAGCAAAUUAGCUUGGUUCUUCCUUUGUAGAAUUAAUUCUGUUAACUGGUUUUGAAGUAAAGUGAUUUGGAUUAAAGAAAAUGUAAAAAAGUUUUCACUUCUACCAAAUAUCAUUUUUAAAAGACAAAGAGUGUUGGUAGCAUGCUGUUUACUUUAUUCUGAGGUGUACCAUGCUGUUAGCAUAGACCAAAAGCCUCUCCGUAAACAGUACCUUGAGGCUAUUUUACCUCCAUUUGUUGCGGUCUUGAGGAAGUGGCGCCCCAUCUUGGCUGGAACUCAUGAACUCGCAACUACUGAUGGUCUGAAUCCUCUUACCGUAGAUGAUCCUGCACUAGCUGCUAAUGUCCUUCCAGUCGAGGCUGCUCUGGCAAUGAUGUCUCCAGCCUGGGCUGCUGCUUUUGCAUCUCCACCUGCAGCAAUGGCAUUGGCUAUGGCAGCAGCUGGUACUUCAGGUGGUGAAAGUCGUGCCCCUGUAAGAAAUACCCAACUUAGGCGUGACACCUCAUUGAUGGAACGGAAACAAUAGGCUAAGCUUACUACAUUUUUAAGCUUUCAAAAACCUUUAGAAGCACCUACUAAAACUCCUCCAUUACCCAAGGACAAAGCUGCAGCAAAAGCUGCUGCUUUAGCAGCAGCUCGUGAUCUUCAACGAUUUUCAAAGAUUGGUGCUGGAAGAGGUCUUAGUGAUAUGGAGCGUGUUAAGAGGUGGACUAUAACUGAAGCAAUGGGAGUUGCCUGGAUGGAAGUGAACAACCAAAUAUCAUUUUUAAAAACUAAAAAAUCACAAGUCUUGCCUAAAAUGCACAACCUGCUUUUCAAGGCUAACAAUCUCCUCUUCCAAAACUGCUACUUCCGUGAGAAGUGCCAGUAUUUAUUUUUUUUCAAGAUUUCAAAAUCAAGAUUAGCCCAAUCUAGUAUGCUCCAACACCAUUGGUUUUGACACCCCCCAAAAACAACAUUAAAAAAUCACAUUUUUGUCCCCCUUAAUCUAUUCCUCAUUGAGGACUUUUGUCAAAUAGUUAUGCUGCAUUUUCA